Molecule: unclassified non-coding RNA, 416 nt
Filed under: fungal sp.
Lineage: Eukaryota; Fungi
Description: partial internal transcribed spacer region
Rfam family: Eukaryotic small subunit ribosomal RNA (bases 1-46)
Source: RNAcentral
AAGUCGUAACAAGGUUUCCGUAGGUGAACCUGCGGAAGGAUCAUUAACACGUUCCACGUAUCCACCCCGCGCACUCGUUUUCCAAACUCUGAUUAAGCUCCAGCUACAGACCUGCAAACGUCGGCCCUACCGCAAAAUCAUUCUUCGAUGAGGAAACGGGCUGCACAAGCCCGGCGGCGGCCGAGUGGAUGUCCCCGAGAUCUUCUCAGAUCUUCGGGGGAGGCGCUGGAUGUCUGGUCAGGUCUUCUAUUCCUUAUCGAAGUUUUUACAACUAUUUACCCCUUUCCGAAACGUACUAAUUUAUAUUUCUUUCUUGAGAAAUUGGAGCUGCUGCACGCACCGCGAGGUGGGCGCGCACUCUGACCUACUAAGAAAAACCAAAAGAACAACUCUUAACAACGGAUAUCUUGGCUCUC